GCAAAGAAUAGUUAAACCAGAAUACUAGCUUUGGGAGCUAGAGAUGGGAGUUAGACCCUCUCUUCUUUG
RNAcentral lists this transfer RNA (69 nucleotides) under Acanthogobius flavimanus (yellowfin goby). Its description in RNAcentral is "tRNA-Pro". It matches the Rfam family "tRNA". Rfam says of the family: Transfer RNA (tRNA) molecules are approximately 80 nucleotides in length. Their secondary structure includes four short double-helical elements and three loops (D, anti-codon, and T loops). Further hydrogen bonds mediate the characteristic L-shaped molecular structure. tRNAs have two regions of fundamental functional importance: the anti-codon, which is responsible for specific mRNA codon recognition, and the 3' end, to which the tRNAs corresponding amino acid is attached (by aminoacyl-tRNA synthetases). tRNAs cope with the degeneracy of the genetic code in two manners: having more than one tRNA (with a specific anti-codon) for a particular amino acid; and 'wobble' base-pairing, i.e. permitting non-standard base-pairing at the 3rd anti-codon position. The record is from RNAcentral. Lineage: Eukaryota; Metazoa; Chordata; Actinopteri; Gobiiformes; Gobiidae.